UAGAGGAAGUAAAAGUCGUAACAAGGUUUCCGUAGGUGAACCUGCGGAAGGAUCAUUAAUGAGUUUUGAACGNAGCUGUUNUGGCCUUUNGAGACAAGUGAACGCUUCACUCAAUCCAUCUCACACCUGUGCACCUUUAGGGAAAACAAUGAGGAGAGAUGUCAAAGUUGGUUUAACGACGAUGAUUCCUCAAUGUUUUCUUUUCUACACAAAUCAUAGUUAUUAGAAAGUGUUGUUUUUGCUUCAUGCAAUAUUAUACAACUUUCAGCAACGGAUCUCUUGGCUCUCGCAUCGAUGAAGAACGCAGCGAAAUGCGAUAAGUAAUGUGAAUUGCAGAAUUCAGUGAAUCAUCGAAUCUUUGAACGCACCUUGCACUCCUUGGUAUUCCGAGGAGUAUGCCUGUUUGAGUGUCAUGAAUUUCUCAACCUCACAGUUUCAUUACUUUAUGAGGCUUGGAUAUGGAAGUGUGCUGGCNUUCAGCCGGCUCUUCUUAAAUACAUGAGCUACUGGUUUGUAGGUUGGCUCAGAGUGUGAUAAGUAUCUACACUUGGUGGCUGCUUGCUUUGAAUGUAGCUUAUAAUCGACCUUUGGACACAUUNCUUAAGAUCUGACCUCAAAUCAGGUAGGACUACCCGCUGAACUUAAGCAUAUCAAUAA
Molecule: ribosomal RNA, 657 nt
Filed under: uncultured fungus
Lineage: Eukaryota; Fungi
Description: eukaryotic LSU rRNA
Rfam family: 5.8S ribosomal RNA (bases 260-413)
Source: RNAcentral